ACAACGAAGAGUUUGAUCCUGGCUCAGGAUGAACACUAGCGACAGGCUUAACACAUGCAAGUCGAGGGGCAGCACAGGUAGCAAUACCGGGUGGCGACCGGCGCACGGGUGAGUAACGCGUAUGCAACUUACCUAUCAGAGGGGGAUAACCCGGCGAAAGUCGGACUAAUACCGCAUGAAGCAGGGGCCCCGCAUGGGGAUAUUUGCUAAAGAUUCAUCGCUGAUAGAUAGGCAUGCGUUCCAUUAGGCAGUUGGCGGGGUAACGGCCCACCAAACCGACGAUGGAUAGGGGUUCUGAGAGGAAGGUCCCCCACAUUGGUACUGAGACACGGACCAAACUCCUACGGGAGGCAGCAGUGAGGAAUAUUGGUCAAUGGCCGAGAGGCUGAACCAGCCAAGUCGCGUGAGGGAUGAAGGUUCUAUGGAUCGUAAACCUCUUUUAUAAGGGAAUAAAGUGCGGGACGUGUCCCGUUUUGUAUGUACCUUAUGAAUAAGGAUCGGCUAACUCCGUGCCAGCAGCCGCGGUAAUACGGAGGAUCCGAGCGUUAUCCGGAUUUAUUGGGUUUAAAGGGUGCGUAGGCGGCCUUUUAAGUCAGCGGUGAAAGUCUGUGGCUCAACCAUAGAAUUGCCGUUGAAACUGGGGGGCUUGAGUAUGUUUGAGGCAGGCGGAAUGCGUGGUGUAGCGGUGAAAUGCAUAGAUAUCACGCAGAACCCCGAUUGCGAAGGCAGCCUGCCAAGCCAUGACUGACGCUGAUGCACGAAAGCGUGGGGAUCAAACAGGAUUAGAUACCCUGGUAGUCCACGCAGUAAACGAUGAUCACUAGCUGUUUGCGAUACACUGUAAGCGGCACAGCGAAAGCGUUAAGUGAUCCACCUGGGGAGUACGCCGGCAACGGUGAAACUCAAAGGAAUUGACGGGGGCCCGCACAAGCGGAGGAACAUGUGGUUUAAUUCGAUGAUACGCGAGGAACCUUACCCGGGUUUGAACGCAUUCGGACCGAGGUGGAAACACCUUUUCUAGCAAUAGCCGUUUGCGAGGUGCUGCAUGGUUGUCGUCAGCUCGUGCCGUGAGGUGUCGGCUUAAGUGCCAUAACGAGCGCAACCCUUGCCACUAGUUACUAACAGGUAAAGCUGAGGACUCUGGUGGGACUGCCAGCGUAAGCUGCGAGGAAGGCGGGGAUGACGUCAAAUCAGCACGGCCCUUACAUCCGGGGCGACACACGUGUUACAAUGGCGUGGACAAAGGGAGGCCACCUGGCGACAGGGAGCGAAUCCCCAAACCACGUCUCAGUUCGGAUCGGAGUCUGCAACCCGACUCCGUGAAGCUGGAUUCGCUAGUAAUCGCGCAUCAGCCAUGGCGCGGUGAAUACGUUCCCGGGCCUUGUACACACCGCCCGUCAAGCCAUGGGAGCCGGGGGUACCUGAAGUCCGUAACCGCGAGGAUCGGCCUAGGGUAAAACUGGUGACUGGGGCUAAGUCGUAACAAGGUAGCCGUACCGGAAGGUGCGGCUGGAACACCUCCUUU
This 1525-nucleotide ribosomal RNA is filed under the name Parabacteroides distasonis. RNAcentral's name for it is "bacterial SSU rRNA". It matches the Rfam family "Bacterial small subunit ribosomal RNA". Lineage: Bacteria; Pseudomonadati; Bacteroidota; Bacteroidia; Bacteroidales; Tannerellaceae. The record is from RNAcentral.